CAGUCGCCGCGGGAAUACGUAGGGUGCGAGCGUUAAUCGGAAUUACUGGGCGUAAAGCGUGCGCAGGCGGUGCUGCAAGACCGAUGUGAAAGCCCCGGGCUUAACCUGGGAACUGCAUUGGUGACUGCAGCGCUGGAGUAUGGCAGAGGGGGGUGGAAUUCCACGUGUAGCAGUGAAAUGCGUAGAGAUGUGGAGGAACACCGAUGGCGAAGGCAGCCCCCUGGGCCAAUACUGACGCUCAUGCACGAAAGCGUGGGGAGCAAACAGGAUUAGAUACCCCAGUAGUCCCUGUCUCUUAUAA
This 301-nucleotide ribosomal RNA is filed under the name uncultured bacterium. RNAcentral describes it as "partial 16S ribosomal RNA". It matches the Rfam family "Bacterial small subunit ribosomal RNA", at positions 509 to 809 of the family's 1533-position model. The record is from RNAcentral.